Etheostoma spectabile (orangethroat darter) is the source of this 417-nucleotide long non-coding RNA. RefSeq lists it as uncharacterized. The transcript has 3 exons. Lineage: Eukaryota; Metazoa; Chordata; Actinopteri; Perciformes; Percidae. The record is from RefSeq and is a predicted model, not a curated record.
CAACCGCCAUCUUGGACCGGUCAUACUCGUUGCUUAGCAGCAGAAGAUUCAAGAUGCCAGAGCACUGUGCAGCAUAUUCCUGUUCAAAUCGGCGGACCAUUGAAAACAGGGCUCGGGGGAUUACUUUUCACAAGCAUACAGUCCAAUUGCAACGGCCACCGGACAGAUCAAUUGGAGGUACAUCAAUCAUCUCAAUGAUGGGCAAAAAAAAGAUGGACUGCAUGCUGCCAAUAAAAUUACAGACAAACAUGUCUACUUUGAGAACCACAAGAUGAGGGUGUCUCUGGCUGCACAGACACUGAGUCGCUCCGUGUCAGUGGCUCUCCGCACAAUGAGGGAUCUUGGGUACUCUCAGUUUAAGGACUGUGAGGCAACGGCAGAAUUCAUUGAGAUUAUUGACAGGCUGUUUGAUACAAU